GCUCCAGUGGCGCAAUCGGUCAGCGCGGUACUUAUAAGAUAGUAACCUGCAGAGUGAUGCCGAGGUUGUGAGUUUGAGCCUCACCUGGAGCA
Molecule: transfer RNA, 92 nt
Filed under: Perca flavescens (yellow perch)
Lineage: Eukaryota; Metazoa; Chordata; Actinopteri; Perciformes; Percidae
Description: tRNA-Ile
Source: RNAcentral